GAUCUGGCUAUGACAUCUGUCACACCUUUGACUGCCGAUGGUUAAUUCCGGCUGAUCUGGCUAAACUGAACAGAUGUCUUCUUC
Unclassified non-coding RNA from Loxodonta africana (African savanna elephant), 84 nucleotides. Its record names the gene 7SK. It matches the Rfam family "7SK RNA". Rfam says of the family: 7SK was discovered as an abundant small nuclear RNA in the mid-70s but a possible function has only recently been suggested. Two independent studies have found that 7SK RNA binds the CDK9/cyclin T complex (known as elongation factor P-TEFb). P-TEFb activates transcription by phosphorylating the C-terminal domain of RNA polymerase II. The record is from Ensembl. Lineage: Eukaryota; Metazoa; Chordata; Mammalia; Proboscidea; Elephantidae.